CUUGAAAUACCACCCUUUAAUGUUUGAUGUUCUAACGUUGACCCGUGAUCCGGGUUGCGGACAGUGUCUGGUGGGUAGUUUGACUGGGGCGGUCUCCUCCUAAAGAGUAACGGAGGAGCACGAAGGUUGGCUAAUCCUGGUCGGACAUCAGGAGGUUAGUGCAAUGGCAUAAGCCAGCUUGACUGCGAGCGUGACGGCGCGAGCAGGUGCGAAAGCAGGUCAUAGUGAUCCGGUGGUUCUGAAUGGAAGGGCCAUCGCUCAACGGAUAAAAGGUACUCCGGGGAUAACAGGCUGAUACCGCCCAAGAGUUCAUAUCGACGGCGGUGUUUGGCACCUCGAUGUCGGCUCAUCACAUCCUGGGGCUGAAGUAGGUCCCAAGGGUAUGGCUGUUCGCCAUUUAAAGUGGUACGCGAGCUGGGUUUAGAACGUCGUGAGACAGUUCGGUCCCUA
Molecule: ribosomal RNA, 450 nt
Filed under: Escherichia coli
Lineage: Bacteria; Pseudomonadati; Pseudomonadota; Gammaproteobacteria; Enterobacterales; Enterobacteriaceae
Description: partial 23S ribosomal RNA
Rfam family: Bacterial large subunit ribosomal RNA
Source: RNAcentral